RNAcentral lists this long non-coding RNA (212 nucleotides) under Oryza brachyantha (malo sina). RNAcentral describes it as "long non-coding RNA (OBRA_LNC001166)". Lineage: Eukaryota; Viridiplantae; Streptophyta; Magnoliopsida; Poales; Poaceae. The record is from RNAcentral.
ACAGGAGCUCAGAGCUACGAGCUUUCUAAAGCAUGCUUGUUAAUACGUUUGAGAGGCAUCAUGAGCAUCGCUAUGCACUUGUUGCGAACACCGUGAUCGAUGAUUAAUUAAUGUACCAUCUGGCAUGGCGACGGGUACUGCCGGAGGAUUCCAACUCGCCGGAGGGAAGCAGAUAAGUUUUGCUCCUUCUACCGAACGAUUACCAGCUAGCA